RNAcentral lists this ribosomal RNA (253 nucleotides) under uncultured bacterium. Its description in RNAcentral is "partial 16S ribosomal RNA". It matches the Rfam family "Bacterial small subunit ribosomal RNA", at positions 524 to 776 of the family's 1533-position model. The record is from RNAcentral.
UACAGAGGUCCCAAGCGUUGUUCGGAUUCAUUGGGCGUAAAGGGUGCGUAGGCGGCGCGGUAAGUCGGGUGUGAAAUCUCGGAGCUUAACUCCGAAACUGCAUUCGAUACUGCCGUGCUUGAGGACUGGAGAGGAGGCUGGAAUUUACGGUGUAGCGGUGAAAUGCGUAGAUAUCGUAAGGAAGACCAGUGGCGAAGGCGGGUCUCUGGACAGUUCCUGACGCUGAGGCACGAAGGCCAGGGGAGCAAACGGG